RNAcentral lists this ribosomal RNA (253 nucleotides) under uncultured bacterium. RNAcentral describes it as "partial 16S ribosomal RNA". It matches the Rfam family "Bacterial small subunit ribosomal RNA", at positions 524 to 776 of the family's 1533-position model. The record is from RNAcentral.
UACGUAGGGGGCAAGCGUUGUCCGGAUUUAUUGGGCGUAAAGAGCGUGUAGGCGGUCAGGUAGGUCCGUUGUGAAAACUCGAGGCUCAACCUCGAGACGCCGAUGGAAACCAUCUGACUAGAGUCCGGAAGAGGAGAGUGGAAUUCCUGGUGUAGCGGUGAAAUGCGCAGAUAUCAGGAAGAACACCGGUGGUGUAGACGGCUCUCUGGACCGUAACUGACGCUGAGACACGAAAGCGUGGGUAGCAAACAGG